CCUACGGGAGGCAGCAGUGGGGAAUAUUGCACAAUGGGGGGAACCCUGAUGCAGCGACGCCGCGUGAGUGAAGAAGUAUUUCGGUAUGUAAAGCUCUAUCAGCAGGAACGAGACAAGACGGUACCUGACUAAGAAGCCCCGGCUAACUACGUGCCAGCAGCCGCGGUAAUACGUAGGGGGCAAGCGUUAUCCGGAAUCACUGGGUGUAAAGGGAGCGUAGACGGCGGAGCAAGCCUGAAGUAAAAGGCGGGGGCCCAACCCCCGGACUGCUUUGGGAACUGUACGGCUGGAGGGCAGGAGAGGUAAGUGGAAUUCCUAGUGUAGCGGUGAAAUGCGUAGAUAUUAGGAGGAACACCAGUGGCGAAGGCGGCUUACUGGACUGUAACUGACGUUGAGGCUCGAAAGCGUGGGGAGCAAACAGGAUUAGAUACCCCUGUAGUC
RNAcentral lists this ribosomal RNA (441 nucleotides) under uncultured bacterium. RNAcentral's name for it is "partial 16S ribosomal RNA". It matches the Rfam family "Bacterial small subunit ribosomal RNA", at positions 338 to 795 of the family's 1533-position model. The record is from RNAcentral.